UCGAUUGAGUUUGAUCAUGGCUCAGGACGAACGCUGGCGGCGUGCUUAACACAUGCAAGUCAAGGGGGCCCAGCAAUGGGCAACCGGCGAACGGGUGCGUAACACGUGAGCAACCUACCGAAGUGUGGGGGAUAGCCGGCCUAACGGCCGAGUAAUACCGCAUACGUUCCAGAAGAGGCAUUUCUUUUGGAAGAAACCUACGGGACACUUCGAGGGGCUCGCGGCCUAUCAGAUAGUUGGUGAGGUAACGGCUCACCAAGGCAACGACGGGUAGCUGGUCUGAGAGGAUGGCCAGCCACAUUGGGACUGAGAUACGGCCCAGACUCCUACGGGAGGCAGCAGUGGGGAAUCUUGCGCAAUGGCCUAACGGCUGACGCAGCGACGCCGCGUGAGGGAUGGAGCUCCUCGGAGUGUAAACCUCUGUUGCCCGGGACGAACAGCUCGAUUAAUCGAGCCUGACGGUACCGGGUGAGGAAGCACCGGCUAACUCCGUGCCAGCAGCCGCGGUAAUACGGGGGGUGCGAGCGUUGUCCGGAAUCACUGGGCGUAAAGGGCGCGUAGGUGGUCUGAUAAGGGUGUGGUGAAAGUCCGGGGCUCAACCCCGGAUCUGCCGUGCCGACUGUCAGACUCGAGGACUGUAGAGGCAGGCGGAAUUCCGGGUGUAGCGGUGGAAUGCGUAGAGAUCCGGAGGAAGACCGGUGGCGAAGGCGGCCUGCUGGGCAGUUACUGACACUGAGGCGCGACAGCGUGGGGAGCAAACAGGAUUAGAUACCCUGGUAGUCCACGCCGUAAACGAUGGGUACUAGGUGCCUGGGGG
RNAcentral lists this ribosomal RNA (817 nucleotides) under uncultured bacterium. RNAcentral's name for it is "bacterial SSU rRNA". It matches the Rfam family "Bacterial small subunit ribosomal RNA", at positions 1 to 830 of the family's 1533-position model. The record is from RNAcentral.